GGGGAACAGCGGCGCUUACACAUGCAAUCGAACGAGAAAGGGGAGCAAUCCCUGAGUACAGUGGCGUACGGGUGAGUAACACGUGGGUGAUCUGCCUUUUAGUGGGGGAUAUCUCUGGGAAACCGGAGUUAAUACCGCAUAAGCUCGGAAGAGGAAAGCCGAAAGGCGCUGAGAGAGGAGCCCGCGGCCGAUUAGCUAGUUGGUGGGGUAACGGCUCACCAAGGCCGAGAUCGGUAGCCGGCCUGAGAGGGCACACGGCCACACUGGCACUGAAACACGGGCCAGACUCCUACGGGAGGCAGCAGUGGGGAAUCUUGCACAAUGGGGGCAACCCUGAUGCAGCGACGCCGCGUGAGCGAUGAAGCCCUUCGGGGUGUAAAGCUCUUUCGACGGGAACGAUAAUGACGGUACCCGGAGAAGAAGCUGCGGCUAACUACGUGCCAGCAGCCGCGGUAAUACGUAGGCAGCAAGCGUUGUUCGGAGUUACUGGGCGUAAAGAGUGCGUAGGCGGUUUCGCAAGUUUGGUGUGAAAUCUCCUGGCUUAACUGGGAGGGUGCGCCGAAAACUGCGGGGCUGGAGUGGGGGAGAGGUAAGCGGAAUUCCUGGUGUAGCGGUGAAAUGCGUAGAUAUCAGGAGGAACACCGGCGGUGUAGACGGCUUACUGGACCCUGACUGACGCUGAGGCACGAAAGCGUGGGGAGCAAACAGGAUUAGAUACCCUGGUAGUCCACGCCCUAAACGAUGCACACUUGGUGUGAGCGAUUCAUUUCGUUCGUGCCGGAGCUAACGCGUUAAGUGUGCCGCCUGGGGAGUACGGUCGCAAGGCUGAAACUCAAGGAAUUGACGGGGGCCCG
RNAcentral lists this ribosomal RNA (854 nucleotides) under uncultured bacterium. Its description in RNAcentral is "bacterial SSU rRNA". It matches the Rfam family "Bacterial small subunit ribosomal RNA", at positions 28 to 923 of the family's 1533-position model. The record is from RNAcentral.